Molecule: non-coding RNA, 73 nt
Organism: Pangasius djambal
Lineage: Eukaryota; Metazoa; Chordata; Actinopteri; Siluriformes; Pangasiidae
Source: the annotation of a GenBank genome assembly
GCAGUUGUGGCCUAAUGGUUAGGGCGUCAGCCUUGUAACGCGAAGGUUGUAGGUUCGAGUCUCAGGUCUGGCA